This is an RNA transcript of Varanus komodoensis (Komodo dragon), 5251 nucleotides long. It is a transcript of the gene named phosphatase and actin regulator 2, with no coding region annotated. The transcript is spliced from 13 exons. Lineage: Eukaryota; Metazoa; Chordata; Lepidosauria; Squamata; Varanidae. The record is from RefSeq and is a predicted model, not a curated record.
GGCAGGAGGGGAUGGACGAGCGAAAGGGGAGCUCGCAGGCUGAAGCGGCUUCGUCCCCCGCGUCGCGCUGGUGGCAGCUGCCCACCGAGGCCGGCCCUCGAGGCCGCACCCAGAGUGACAUCUCCUCCUUCUGUACGCUCAGGAAGAGCCACCUGCUCCGCGCGCCGCUCUCGGGAUCAGUUGAUGGGAUAGACAAGGCAUCAGUUGCAAAUUCAGAUGGGCAAACUCCUGGAUCACGGACUCCUCCUUUCAAGAGGAAAGGCAAACUAUCUACUAUUGGUAAAUUCUUCAAACCAUGGAAAUGGCGAAAGAAGAAAACAAGUGAAAAAUUUAGAGAAACAUCAGCAGUGCUAGAAAGGAAGAUAUCAACCAGACAGAGCAGAGAGGAGCUGAUAAGAAGGGGUGUCCUGAAGGAAAUAAAUGAGCAAAGUGAUGAUGGAGAAAUAGCAGUGAAUUAUGAAAUCUCAAAUGGCCACACAAUUGUAAUCGCUGAAGAAGCCAUAGAGGAAGAAAACAUUGUGAAGACCACAGAGGACAAUAGUUCCAUAUUGGCAAAAGCACAAGCUCCAGAAGAGAGAGCAGAGGGUAAAAAAGAGAAACCACUUCCUAAACGUCCUGAAACUUCAGUACCCCGUGCUCCUCCUCCUCCUCCUCCACCACCUCCUAAAUCUAAGCCUAAAGGUAAAAAGGCAACCAUACCUCCAAAAAAUACCACAGCUGCUACCACUAGCCAUAGAACUAAUGAAGUGCCACAUGCUAAAAAAAAGGGCAAGGCUUCUGCUAAGCAGGUGUCUGCUGCACCUCCGAAGUCAACAAGCCGGAGCAUGAACCGAGAAACUGCUAGUUCUUCUAAUUUAAAAAAAGUGCCAGUUUCAUCUCCUUCAUCCACAUCAUCUCGCCCUAAAAUAUCUAAAGAGCCAGCUUCAAGGGAAGCAGGCACAGGGACACCCAGAGACAAGAAAAAGCAUGGAAAACAGGUGACCACACGAACACCUGCAGAGGGGGACAUUUCUUCAGCCUCAAGCACAACAGGAGGCAACUCAGAUACGAAGAUGGAAAAUUCUAAGCCAGAAGAGCCUCUCCAAAUGAUUCCUGAAGCUGGAGAUACAACCCAGCAGAGCACAGUUACUGUUCCUCCCCCUCCUCCUGCUGUUCCACCUCCUCUUCCUCCAUCCAUCCCUUCUCUAUCUCUAGGCACUCAGCCCACUGGUUUCUCAGACACACAAGAUGUGCCAGUGAGCGCUGAAACAAGCCCGUCUGUCCCUGGCACAGACUUUAAUGAACUCCAUAUGAAAACUGAAGCAGACAGUGAAAACUCUUCAAGCAGUGCUGUCUUAGACAAUAGUCUGGAUAUUGCGGGAGAAGACACAAAAUGUUCUGCCACUGGAGAAGACCCUGAGAAAGACACCAUUGACCUGGCAAGUCCUGUCCUAACAGAUGAAGUUUCUGAAGCCCUGAAUGCUCCAGAAAGUGAAAGCAGCAAAGAGAAUCACACCAGUGACUCUGAUUCAGAUGGGCCUAUACUCUACACAGAUGACGACGACGAUGAAGAUGAUGCGUGUAGUGAAAGCUCUUUAGCAAGUAAAAUCCGUCGUAGAGAUACUCUUGCGAUUAAACUUGGCAACAGGCCAUCAAAACAAGAACUGGAAGACAAAAAUAUCUUGCAGAGAACAUCUGAAGAGGAGAGGCAGGAAAUCAGACAUCAGAUCGGCACAAAACUAGUGAGGAGGCUUAGCCAGAGGCCUACCUCUGAAGAGCUGGAACAAAGAAACAUUCUGAGGCAGAAGAAUGAAGAAGAAGAACAAGAAGCUAAAAGAGAAUUGAAGCGCAGUCUCAGCAGAAAGCUCAGUCUGAGACCAACAGUGGCUGAACUUCAAGCAAGAAGAAUCCUUCGUUUUAAUGAGUAUGUGGAAGUAACAGAUUCUCCGGAUUAUGAUCGGCGUGCUGACAAGCCCUGGGCAAGGUUAACACCUGCCGACAAGUGUCAGUGCAUUGCCCUUGUAAAGUAUUCUGAAUGGCUGCUGUGCUUUAAUACCUGCCAACUGAAAACAAUGGCUUAGAAUAUCCAAACAUUUCAUUUAAUGUUACGUAAAAAUGAAACAGAAGCAAGUUUCUAGAUGAAAAGCGUUAUUCAUCUUGCCUGACUGAAAGGUAGUCCUCAGGAAGGGCAGGAGUUCUGCAGCUCGUUCAUUUGCUAUGCAUGAAACAUUAGUCAUCCAGUACUCCAUGCACAUUAAACAAGUGGCUUGUUAGAGUGGAAAGUUUCUUUUCUGCUACUGCCAUUCCCAGCUUUGUAGCUUGUGCAAUGUUUUGUGCUUUGUUUUCUACUGGGAUUAUUCUAUUCUGAUCAAUAAAUAGUGUUUGAAAGGAAAAGAAGGGAAAUAUAAUCAGUUCUCUAAUAUAGGAGAGAGAAAAUACAUGUGGAGUGUCAGUGCAGCAUAGGAGGGCUCUUGCUUGCCAUUUCUUGUGUCUUCUGAAACAAUGGAAGAUGGGAAGAGGGCAAAUGUCUAAGGAUGUCAGUAUGCUGAGAUCAUAGAAGCAGUUCAGUGGUUCCCAAACUGUUGCACUUUUGGACCAGUGUCCCUGAGCUGCUUGUAUCAAAAAAGGGCUGAUCCUAGAGGACUGACAAGCAAACCUUUGCAUGCUGUAGAACAGCAACAUCAGGUGAAGUAGCCUGGAAUUGUUUCCAUUCGUCAUAGAUUUAAAACUCCAAGUGCGUUUGGGGCACUGCUUCUUUGUUAGACAGUAGAUUUCACCUGCCGUUUGUUCAUGGGGACUGGAUCUUUCUUUUCAGUUAAACUCAGAUAAAAUAUUACUCUUCACCAACUAUAUGAUUACAUUGAUACUAAAAAUUUAUUUAAAUAUAAGAUACAUUAUAUAAAAAUGGGUAGAGAUGAGGCCAUCAGACACAAUGUACUGCUUGAUUAUAAAAAGGUCUGUUUUUAUUGCUUCCACUGAAGAGCUGUCCUCAUAUUCUGUGUUUUUUAAUUAGGCAGCAAUACGGAAAGAGUUAAAUGAAUUUAAAAGCACAGAAAUGGAAGUACAUGAAGAGAGUCGGCAGUUUACAAGGUUUCACCGUCCGUAAUAGAUUGAAAAUAUCCGUGGUCCAGACACAAGCUUACUUCCCAGGGAAUGUACAACUCCUCAACAACCUGAAAGAGCAUUCCAACGGAAAUGUCUGCCUGAAGUCAUUGAACAGUGUGGUCCCCACAUUUAAUAAAAGAGAUGACUAGAAGAGAGCCUACAAUGAAUGCAGUAGAAGCUGCAUAGUAAGAGAGAAAAUGGUGUUGGGACCAUCUCAAUCAGGGUAAAUGAUACUGUUUUUCCCUCAUUAGUACUUGGCCGGAGAGGAAGUACUGAAAAUGACUGUUGGCAGGAAAUAAUACUAACCCACUUUUGAUUAGGGCAGGAACAAACAUAGCUGAGUAUUUUAUCAGACAUUCUUAUCAGAAUGUUAGAGCAAAAUUAUUAACAUUCUUCAUGGAAGUAAUUUAAUGCUAUAUUAGGAUAUCAGAUAACUUCUUUAAAGUACAGAUCCAGGAAUGUGAGCAGUUGUGCUGGUGCAGUUCUACAAUCCUCAGCUUUUUGGAGCCAGGUGCAGAGCUACCAAAUCCCCUUUUUAUAAACUGCACUUACAGUGCAGUAAUUUAGUGUAGUGCCAGUCAAUUUGCCAGUAAUUAGUUGUAGCACAAUUCACAGUCACUUCUACAAAUUUUCAUUGUGCUUUUAAAAUGUGCAUUGUGACUGCAGUCUGGAGCACAACUAGACUCAUGGGAGUUGCAGAAAUGUCAGCAGAACUUUUGAGCAUGUAGCUAUGCACAAGACUGCAGUGUUCUGUUUAUUUAGAAUUGGAAAACCAUAGGCCCUCCAUAAUCGUGUAUCAAUGAGACAUAUGUUUAGGAAAAUUAAAGUGUGAGACAAUAAGGAAGUAGUGAAAAGACACAGAUUCUGGUUUUCCCCUAUCUUUUUAUGACGUCAUGGCUGAAGCAAUGAUUUCAGAGCUGCUUAGAGGAACAGUAUUGACAAUCAAAUUAUGAAGCCAAACUGCGAGAUGAAUGUGAAUACAGCAGCUUAUCAUGUAGUUCUGGGCUAUAGCUAGUAAUAUGUUCUUUAUGUACAGGCUUAACUACAUUUAGUAGAUACUGGGAUUCGGGUAGACCUAAUCAGGCCUAGAGGCCAAAUGUCAUGCACCCUCCAAAGGUUUUCCUCUGGCUUACCCAGCCCUGUGCUGCUGUCGAGAGCCGACGUGGUUGUAUAUUCCAUGGCAGAAAAGCAGGGUGAGGGUGUUAGGAGGAAUUUUCCCAGGGAAAACAGCACUAGCAAGCUACACAGAAUAUACGGACAUUGCAUUCCCCAUGCUUGGGACUAUUGGCAAAGAAGGCAAUUCUGGGCAUGAACCUUCUUUGUGUGAACAGUGCAUCCAGAUGGAGGAAUGUCGUAACAUAACAGAGCUUUGUUCCGCCACAUGCACACCCUGGCAUGUGUGCACAGAAGCCAUAUUGAGGCAGCCUGGAGAAUGAAUACCUGCACACAUUUCCUGUACCUUUGUUCACCCUACUCUUGCCAUUUGGCCAAGUGGAAAGGAGAGGGCUGACCUGGGAUAUGCGUGGUAGAUAGAGGUCUCCCACUCUGUGAAAGAGGCUGAUGCACUGAGAGUGCCAAGGGGGCAGACCAGGAAAAUCAGAGGUCAGUCGUGCCACACCCUACAAGGAUCCCUCAGCAUGUAGUCUCUGUGCCUGUAGGGAAAAGGAUUGUGUCAUAGGUGUAACUUAAGUCCUCACAGAAGGCCUUGUGAAAACUGCAGAAAGGCCUUGGAACCUAUAGCCUGUAUUUGUUAUGUGUGAAUAAUGUGGAACAAAUUGUCUACUUUUAUACUAUCUUGUAAUUGUAUUUGUGAAUAUAUUGUUAGUCAAGUUUAAAAAGUAUAAGGUGGUGUGACAGGCAAUAUGUGUAUUAUUAUGUUGGCCCUAAAUAUGGUGGCUUAUUAUAAGCCUAUGACAUUGUUUACACUAAAAAUUGUCUUAUAUUGGCACUUAUUUAUCCUUUUAAUGUACACAAUGAAAUGUCUGGCCUGAAAUACACAAGGGCAUGUAUUGCAGUAUUACAAUAUAUAUAUGCUAUUUAUCCUUUUUAAUGUAUAUACUACAAUUUAUUUUUGUCCAUGUGCCCUGUUUAGUUCUUAAUUAUAUAAGAUACGUAUUUUUUUCAGGCAAUAAAUGGUGUCUGUCAUUAUUUUUUUUAAACCUCAGAA